UAGGGAAUCUUCCGCAAUGGACGCAAGUCUGACGGAGCAACGCCGCGUGAGUGAAGAAGGAUUUCGGUUCGUAAAACUCUGUUGUUAGAGAAGAACAGCGCAUAGAGUAACUGUUAUGCGUGUGACGGUAUCUAACCAGAAAGCCACGGCUAACUACGUGCCAGCAGCCGCGGUAAUACGUAGGUGGCAAGCGUUGUCCGGAUUUAUUGGGCGUAAAGCGAGCGCAGGCGGUCAAUUAAGUCUGAUGUGAAAGCCCCCGGCUCAACCGGGGAGGGUCAUUGGAAACUGAUUGACUUGAGUGCAGAAGAGGAGAGUGGAAUUCCAUGUGUAGCGGUGAAAUGCGUAGAUAUAUGGAGGAACACCAGUGGCGAAGGCGACUCUCUAGUCUGUAACUGACGCUGAGGCUCGAAAGCGUGGGUAGCAAACAGG
RNAcentral lists this ribosomal RNA (429 nucleotides) under Bacteroidota bacterium. RNAcentral describes it as "Bacteroidetes bacterium partial 16S ribosomal RNA". It matches the Rfam family "Bacterial small subunit ribosomal RNA", at positions 355 to 776 of the family's 1533-position model. The record is from RNAcentral. Lineage: Bacteria; Pseudomonadati; Bacteroidota.